This is a non-coding RNA of Chelonoidis abingdonii (Abingdon island giant tortoise), 101 nucleotides long. NCBI's taxonomy places the organism in Eukaryota, Metazoa, Chordata, Testudines, Testudinidae. The record is from RefSeq and is a predicted model, not a curated record.
GGGUGGAGUCUUUUUUUAUGUCUGCUCCUCCUCUUUGCCCCAGGCCCCCUGAAUCCUCUGGGUGGCCCGGUGGGAGUUGGUGGAUUUUGGGGGGAAAAACU